This 746-nucleotide ribosomal RNA is filed under the name uncultured Parvimonas sp. RNAcentral describes it as "bacterial SSU rRNA". It matches the Rfam family "Bacterial small subunit ribosomal RNA", at positions 28 to 776 of the family's 1533-position model. The record is from RNAcentral. Lineage: Bacteria; Bacillati; Bacillota; Tissierellia; Tissierellales; Peptoniphilaceae.
GACGAACGCUGGCGGCGUGCUUAACACAUGCAAGUCGAACGUGAUUUUUGUGGAAAUUCUUUCGGGAAUGGAAAUGAAAUGAAAGUGGCGAACGGGUGAGUAACACGUGAGCAACCUACCUUACACAGGGGGAUAGCCGUUGGAAACGACGAUUAAUACCGCAUGAGACCACAGAAUCGCAUGAUAUAGGGGUCAAAGAUUUAUCGGUGUAAGAAGGGCUCGCGUCUGAUUAGCUAGUUGGAAGGGUAAAGGCCUACCAAGGCGACGAUCAGUAGCCGGUCUGAGAGGAUGAACGGCCACAUUGGAACUGAGACACGGUCCAAACUCCUACGGGAGGCAGCAGUGGGGAAUAUUGCACAAUGGGGGGAACCCUGAUGCAGCGACGCCGCGUGAGCGAAGAAGGUUUUCGAAUCGUAAAGCUCUGUCCUAUGAGAAGAUAAUGACGGUAUCAUAGGAGGAAGCCCCGGCUAAAUACGUGCCGGCAGCCGCGGUAAUACGUAUGGGGCGAGCGUUGUCCGGAAUUAUUGGGCGUAAAGGGUACGUAGGCGGUUUUUUAAGUCAGGUGUGAAAGCGUGAGGCUUAACCUCAUUAAGCACUUGAAACUGGAAGACUUGAGUGAAGGAGAGGAAAGUGGAAUUCCUAGUGUAGCGGUGAAAUGCGUAGAUAUUAGGAGGAGUACCGGUGGCGAAGGCGACUUUCUGGACUUUUACUGACGCUCAGGUACGAAAGCGUGGGGAGCAAACAGG